Molecule: long non-coding RNA, 565 nt
Organism: Cicer arietinum (chickpea)
Lineage: Eukaryota; Viridiplantae; Streptophyta; Magnoliopsida; Fabales; Fabaceae
Source: RefSeq, a predicted model, not a curated record
GAACCAACCACAAAUUUGGAUGGACCAAAUUCUGAAAGUCUGGCUGCUGCUAUCCUAAGGAUCAUGGAGGAUAGGAAAGGCCAGGAAAAUUUUCAGCUAAUUGUUAUUACUCAUGAUGAGCGUUUUGCUCAACUGAUUGGUCAGCGCCAGCAUGCGGAGAGAUAUUAUCGAGUCGCAAAAGAUGACCAUCAGCACAGUAUAAUCGAAUCCCAGGAGAUAUUUGACUGAAGGGUGGAUUUUAUUUAGUUACAACUUUGAAGUGGCUUGUUGGAGGAUUGACAGAUCAAGUUGUUGAUGAGAUAUAGGAUACUGAUAAUGAUAUGUUCCUAUUAAUUAAAAGAUUGACAAUUGUUGUAGACUAUCAUUUGUACACUAGUUUUUGUAAGCAUGUUUAUAUAUUUUGGCAUUUCAUCCUUUGUGGCCAAUUGAAGUUUUAAAAUCAGACCGGUGUAAAAAACAACAGUUCCUUUUCACCGAUGGCAUUGUGAAUAAUGAUAGGGUUUGUUGCCUGGAUUACCGCAAUCAUUGUGAAAAUGAAUCCAUUAAUUAAUGAAUUAAAUCAAAA